RNAcentral lists this ribosomal RNA (328 nucleotides) under uncultured bacterium. Its description in RNAcentral is "bacterial SSU rRNA". It matches the Rfam family "Bacterial small subunit ribosomal RNA", at positions 568 to 898 of the family's 1533-position model. The record is from RNAcentral.
CGUGUAGGCGGUGCGGUAAGUUGGGCGUGAAAUCCCCGAGCUUAACUCGGGUGGGCCGUUCAAGACUGCCGUGCUAGGGUGCGGGAGGGGGAAGUGGAAUUUCCGGUGUAGCGGUGAAAUGCGUAGAUAUCGGGAGGAACACCUGCGGCGAAGGCGGCUUCCUGGACCGUAACCGACGCUGAGGCGCGAAAGCUAGGGGAGCAAACAGGAUUAGAUACCCUGGUAGUCCUAGCCCUAAACGAUGAGCACUGGGUGUGGCCCCUCACGAGGCCGUGCCGAAGCUAACGCAUUAAGUGCUCCGCCUGGGGAGUACGGUCGCAAGGCUGAA